AGAGUUUGAUCCUGGCUCAGAAUCAACGCUGGCGGCGUGCCUAACACAUGCAAGUCGAACGCGAAAGGGGAGCAAUCCCUGAGUAGAGUGGCAAACGGGUGAGUAACACGUGGGUGACCUGCCUCAGAGUGGGGGAUAACGUCCCGAAAGGGACGCUAAUACCGCAUAACAUCCUGCCUUUGGAAAGGCGGAGAUCAAAGCCGGGGAUCGCAAGACCUGGCGCUUGGAGAGGGGCCCGCGUCUGAUUAGCUAGUUGGUAGGGUAAUGGCCUACCAAGGCGACGAUCAGUAUCCGGCCUGAGAGGGCGGACGGACACACUGGGACUGAGACACGGCCCAGACUCCUACGGGAGGCAGCAGUGGGGAAUUGUUCGCAAUGGGCGCAAGCCUGACGACGCAACGCCGCGUGGAGGAUGAAGAUCUUCGGGUCGUAAACUCCUGUCGAGCGGGACGAACACUUGUCCGGUUAACACCUGGACAGGCUGACGGUACCGCUAAAGGAAGCCCCGGCUAACUCCGUGCCAGCAGCCGCGGUAAUACGGGGGGGGCAAGCGUUGUUCGGAAUUACUGGGCGUAAAGGGCUCGUAGGCGGCCAACUAAGUCGGACGUGAAAUCCCCAGGCUCAACCUGGGAACUGCGUCCGAUACUGGAUGGCUUGAAUCCGGGAGAGGGAUGCAGAAUUCCAGGUGUAGCGGUGAAAUGCGUAGAUAUCUGGAGGAAUACCGGUGGCGAAGGCGGCAUCCUGGACCGGCAUUGACGCUGAGGAGCGAAAGCCAGGGGAGCAAACGGGAUUAGAUACCCCGGUAGUCCUGGCCCUAAACGAUGAAUGCUUGGUGUAACGGGUAUCGAUCCCUGUUGUGCCGAAGCUAACGCAUUAAGCAUUCCGCCUGGGGAGUACGGUCGCAAGGCUGAAACUCAAA
RNAcentral lists this ribosomal RNA (919 nucleotides) under uncultured bacterium. RNAcentral describes it as "bacterial SSU rRNA". It matches the Rfam family "Bacterial small subunit ribosomal RNA", at positions 8 to 905 of the family's 1533-position model. The record is from RNAcentral.